RNAcentral lists this small RNA (120 nucleotides) under Paracoccus aminophilus JCM 7686. RNAcentral describes it as "Alphaproteobacterial ar14". It matches the Rfam family "Alphaproteobacterial ar14". From Rfam's summary of the family: Smr14C2 was renamed NfeR1 (Nodule Formation Efficiency RNA) highly expressed in salt stress and during the symbiotic interaction on legume roots. The record is from Rfam by way of RNAcentral. Lineage: Bacteria; Pseudomonadati; Pseudomonadota; Alphaproteobacteria; Rhodobacterales; Paracoccaceae.
AGAAUACGAUGGCCCCCUCCUCCUCCCUGGGGUCGCUCGUGAGCGGUAAUGGCACUCCUCCUCCCAGCCAUUGCCGCACCCUAUACGCGGCCCCUCCUCCUCCCUGGGCCAGCGUUGCGC